AAGGUCGUAACAAGGUUUCCGUAGGUGAACCUGCGGAAGGAUCAUUAAUGAGAUCAUGCCCUUCGGGGUUAGGACCUCCCAGCCCCCACUGUUUCACCGUACCCGGUUGCUUUGGCGGUCCCGUCGCAAGACGGGCCGCCAUGAGGGACCUUUAAAAUCCCGUAUUAUCAUUGUCGUCUGAGUACUAUCAAUAGUUUAAAAACCU
This 205-nucleotide unclassified non-coding RNA is filed under the name plant metagenome. RNAcentral's name for it is "partial contains small subunit ribosomal RNA and internal transcribed spacer 1". The stretch from base 1 to 47 matches the Rfam family "Eukaryotic small subunit ribosomal RNA", at positions 1785 to 1831 of the family's 1831-position model. The record is from RNAcentral.